Molecule: long non-coding RNA, 2168 nt
Organism: Catharus ustulatus (Swainson's thrush)
Lineage: Eukaryota; Metazoa; Chordata; Aves; Passeriformes; Turdidae
Exons: 3
Source: RefSeq, a predicted model, not a curated record
CCAACCGCUGACGCAGAAAGGAACCCGAAAGCUGUAAAGUUAAAGAAAAGUCGACUUCUGUUGUCAUUUGCUACAUUUGCAAACGAGGAGGGAUCGACCCGGUGUCAGCAAAGGCUCCGCAGAGGAAAGGGAGACCGAUGGAAAUGUGUUUUAAAAGUCACCUCCAUUUCAACACCGUGCGCUGAAUUUGCCCAAAAAGGAGCUGCAGGAACUGAGCUGAAAUGAAUGCAUCCUGCAUGCAGGUAGGAAUAACAGCCUGACCAUCAGAGCACACAGAAACGCAAAUUGAGAACUCAACUGUUUCAUAUCAAGGAAGCUGCAGAUUUUUUGAUUAUGCAUAAAUAUUUUCCUGGUGGGAUUCAUCCACAAUUGAUACUGGAUUUAGAUCACAAUUGAUAAAAAUUAUAUUAUUAACCCAGCAUUAUUGUAGGCAUUAAUACUGCAAAUGGCAAAGAUCAGACAUUUUUUAUAAAGCACAAAAUAAAUAUGCAGAAAAUAACCUCAGAAAACAGAAGUUAUCUGUAUCUAACUACUUCCCUUUUAUGAGACAGGCACACUUCCCAGUACAAAUAUAGGAAUGUUGAGUUAACAGUAUACAACCACACAUUUGUCUGCAGUUCGACUGCUGUACUGGAAUUAUCUAGUGGUACCUACCUGGAAGGAGAUGCAAGAGAUCUAUUGCUUUUAUUUUUAUGCAUUAUUCCCAUAAUUAAUAGGUCCCUCUAUUUUCAGCCAAAAUGAAAUUCAGGAUUAAUAUUCACUUUUCUUGAGGGCAUAGAAGUUAGCAAAUAUGGUAUGGAUAGUCAUGUAUUUAGUACCUUUCACUUGCAAUACAAAAAUCUUCUUUAAAGACUAAUUAAAAACAUGAACAAAUUCUGUAAACAAAAUAAUUAUUGUACAUCCCCUCCUUUCCAAACACAGGCAGGAAGUUUCUUAUGGAUAGCGAGCUGGCUCUUGCUUCCUCUCAUACCAGUAUGGAUGUUUGUAGCCAAGACACUGUGAUGCUCUCUGACAGAGAAAAAUAUAUAAAACCCCCUGAAAAUCAUACACAGAGAGGAUCAAUAGAUUGUAUGUAGGUAAUGGCUACAGCCUUGAAAUGGCAAACGUGGGAUUUUGUUUGACUCUUAGAAGGAUGAACAUUGUUUCUAUUUUUGUACUUCUGCAGCUGAAUUCCAAACACAAGUUCUUCACAGACCUGACUUAGAACUUGGUUUCUUUUCAACAACCAUGCAUUUGUUCAGAGACAGAAAAAGACAAAACACCAGAGGGGUGUGUUAGGGAAAGUGAAGUGACAGUCUGCUUACAAACUAAUCCACUACAGCCUUGUGAGCUGUACCUGAAGCAGCUCAGGAAGCUUGGGAACAGAACACAGCUUAUUAGAGAACACAGGGACACAGACCGUGUGAGGGUCACUUCCAGAUUAAUAAUUUACCCCAUGAUAUACAAAGACUGUGAAACUCAGCUACUAUUGCAGUGGGACAACUGAGUGCAUCAGAAUGGCUUUAAAAAGGAGAUGAUAGAAAUACCAGAAGUGAAGCAGAAUAUUAUACAUUACCUACCUCUUAUCCACAUAUCUGAAAGCUGCUAUUCUGCAACGUGUUGAUCUUGUCAUUUUAUAUCACUUUUGUCUAAGGCAGGAGCCAAAUUAUUUUUAUGGACUACAAAAGCAAGGUAAACUAUAACCCAAAAACCUUACCAUCAAAAAAGGACAAAAUAAAGUUGCAAAAAACCCCCACAAAAGUAUCUGGAUUUCCAGUAUAGGGAAAAUGGCAAGAAGGAAUUCUGUAUAAAUGCAGUCUCUACAUCCACCCCCACUGAGACAGACUUUCAAAUUAAUGUUUUCAAGUUCCAACAUUUCUGAGCUGUUGCUUGAACCACUUGAAACAAUUCCCAGCUAGUUGAUGGGGUUUUUUUAGAUUACUAAAAAGUAUUUUUCUAACAUGUAAAAUGUGAAGGAACUAUAAAAAGGGGGCAUGUUUUGUUUUCUGCUACUUUUGAUGACUGAUUUCUAUUUAAAGGUUAAUUGUCAAUUAUGUCAGAACCCGAAAUUGUGUAACAGUUGAUCUUCCCCAUGCACAGGACAACAGAGCAUUAUUCCUUCAAGCCUAUUCUCCCUGGUAAUACUUUCGUGUCAGAAACUGCUUAUAUUUGCAAUUAUCUGAUGUUUA